This 809-nucleotide long non-coding RNA is filed under the name Mus pahari (shrew mouse). RNAcentral describes it as "predicted gene 12069 (MGP_PahariEiJ_G0004434.1)". The record is from RNAcentral. Lineage: Eukaryota; Metazoa; Chordata; Mammalia; Rodentia; Muridae.
UUACCAGAAGGAAUGAAGGCUAUUGACAGACUCCCCAGAGCAGAAGCCACGUGAAGAGGAAGUUCACUGACUUGGAGACUCUUGCGCCACCUGCUGGUUGCUGGGAGGAGAGAAGCCUGGACCUGCCUGGUCUCUUGGGGGCUGAGCAGGAUGAUGAUAGUAGGCUCCCUGACCUAAGAAGAACCACACCUGGGAACUAACAUCCACCUGAUCAUGGAUAGGAAAAUCCAGAGAACUUGCUGUAAAGCAGUGCCAACCACACAGCAAGUGCUACUUCAGUUACAGUUUUCCAGUUGUCCCUUACAGCUCGGCCAUGAAGUGGUGGGCAUAGUUUCAGUGAAUUCAAACUGGAUUCUAGAACGUAUUUUGAAUCUAGAGUAAAUGAAGCUUCUUUUAUAGCCGUGGAAGAAUGGCCUUCUGGCCACAGGAUGCUGGCAUAGCACAUCUGCUUCACUGGGCCGAACGGUAUCUGUGCCUUUUUCUAAUCUCAACCUUACCUGAUGGCUGGAGAGAGUUCACCUCCUUUUACGUUUUUCUUGCAUUGAAGAUUAUUGUUUUCACCCUCUAAAAGGAAUGUAAUGAUAUAGACUUGUCCUGCAUUAGCACCACCACACAGUUGGAGAGAAAUCUGCUCACUGGGCACGCAGCCAGGGACUGUUGGGAUGAUUGUCUCUGACCCAGGGCUCUAGGAGGCACAAUCACCACAGAUUAAUCAGGGCACUUUUUAUCAGUGUGCCUUCAUCUGCCAAGUAACUAUAAACUCUUCAAGACUAAGGCUCUACUUCAUCUCAACAACAAAAGUAAAAGAC